Molecule: ribosomal RNA, 1881 nt
Filed under: Stygiella agilis
Lineage: Eukaryota; Jakobea; Jakobida; Stygiellidae
Description: SSU rRNA
Rfam family: Eukaryotic small subunit ribosomal RNA
Source: RNAcentral
UAGCAUAUGCUUGUCUCAAAGAUUAAGCCAUGCAUGUCUCAGUGUAAACACUAGUAUUGUGAAACUGCGAAUGGCUCAUUACAUCAGUGAUAAUCUCUUUGAUAGUGCGUGGCACAUGGAUAACUGUGCUAACCGUAGAGCUAAUACAUGCCCAGAUUCUUGGAUUUCGGUUCAAGAAGCAUUUAUUAGGUUCGAGCCAACCUGACUCAUUUUUUGUGUCAGUGCGGAUGAAUCAUAAUAACUUUUGCGAAUCACAGAGCCCCAUUUUGUGGCGGUGAUGCAUCAUUCGAAUCUCUGCCCUAUCAGCUUUUGAUGGUAGUGUCGUGGACUACCAUGGCGAUAACGGGUAACGGAGAAUUAGGGUUCGAUUCCGGAGAGGGAGCCUGAGAAAUGGCUACCACAUCCAAGGAAGGCAGCAGGCGCGUAAAUUACCCAAUCCUGACUCAGGGAGGUAGUGACCAUAAAUAACGACGCUCGGCCUUUGGUCGUGCGAUCGGAAUGCGAGAAGCUUUAAGCUCUUCUCGAAAGCAACUGGAGGGCAAGUCUGGUGCCAGCAGCCGCGGUAAUACCAGCUCCAGUAGCGUAUAUUAAAGUUGUUGCAGUUAAAAAGCUCGUAGUUGGAUGUCGGAAAGGACCUCAUGGUUUUGUCCGGCACUCUUAAGGAGUGUUCCGUGACCCAGAGUGUUUUCCAUUUCCUAGACGACUGGAGUCGGGUCAGUUUGUGCAUUCACUUGCACGAUUGAUCGCUUUUCUUGAAAGAGAAAGAAACGGUUUCGGUCAUGUUACUGUGAAGAAAUCAGAGUGCUCAAAGCAGGCAUUUGUCCGAAUGGAUUAGCAUGGGAUAACCACCCUUGACCUCGGUCUUUGGGAGUUGGUUCAAAAGAUCGAUGGCGCUUGAUUAAUAGGGACAGUUGGGGGCAUUCGUAUUUCGAAGUCAGAGGUGAAAUUCUUGGAUUUUCGAAAGACGAACAUAUGCGAAAGCAUUUGCCAAGGAUGUUUUCAUUAAUCAAGAACGAAAGUUCGGGGAUCGAAGACGAUCAGAUACCGUCGUAGUCCGAACCAUAAACGAUGCCGACUAGGGAUUGGAAGAUGCGCUUUUGCCAUCUUUCAGCACCUUCCGAGAAAUCAAAGUUUUUGGGUUCCGGGGGGAGUAUGGUCGCAAGGCUGAAACUUAAAGGAAUUGACGGAAGGGCACCACCAGGAGUGGAGCCUGCGGCUUAAUUUGACUCAACACGGGGAAACUUACCAGGUCCAGACAUAGGAAGGAUUGACAGAUUGACAGCUCUUUCUUGAUUCUAUGGGUGGUGGUGCAUGGCCGUUCUUAGUUGGUGGAGUGAUUUGUCUGGUUAAUUCCGAUAACGAACGAGACCUUCACCUCUAAAUAGUGCGCAUCUCUUCCAUUCUUUCUCGACUCGUCGAGGGAAGCGGUUGUUUCGGCAAUCUCUUCUUUUUUCUUCGAGGAGAGUUUGAACGAGGUGAUAAUCCUCCCUAAAAAGAGGAUUGUUUUCGUACUUCUUAGAGGGACGAUGUGCGUUAGCACAAGGAAGUUGGAGGCAAUAACAGGUCUGUGAUGCCCUUAGAUGUCCUGGGCCGCACGCGUGCUACACUGACGGAUCCAACAAGUAUGCUUUUGUACCUGGACCGAAAGGUUUGGGAAAUCUAGCAAUGUCCGUCGUGAUGGGGAUCGACCCUUGUAACUUGGUCGUGAACGAGGAAUUCCUUGUAAGCGCGAGUCAUCAUCUCGCGUUGAAUACGUCCCUGCCCUUUGUACACACCGCCCGUCGCUCCUACCGAUGGAUGGUCCGGUGAAAUCUUCGGAUGUUCUUUGUUUUUUUCCUUUUUUUCCUUCGUGGAGAAAAAGGACAGAGAACAGAAGUUGAU